UACGUAGGGUGCGAGCGUUAAUCGGAGUGACUGGGCGUAAAGGGCGUGUAGGUGGAAGGAUAAGUUAUGUGUGAAAUCUCCGGGCUUAACUUGGAGGGGUCAUGUAAUACUGUUUUUCUAGAGUAGAGCAGAGGGAAGUAGAAUUUCCGGUGUAGCGGUGAAAUGCGUAGAGAUCGGAAGGAAUACCAGUGGCGAAGGCGGCUUCCUGGGCUCAUACUGACACUGAGGCGCGAAGGCGUGGGUAGCGAACAGG
RNAcentral lists this ribosomal RNA (253 nucleotides) under uncultured bacterium. Its description in RNAcentral is "partial 16S ribosomal RNA". It matches the Rfam family "Bacterial small subunit ribosomal RNA", at positions 524 to 776 of the family's 1533-position model. The record is from RNAcentral.